CCUACGGGAGGCUGCAGUAGGGAAUAUUGCUCAAUGGGGGAAACCCUGAAGCAGCAACGCCGCGUGGAGGAUGAAGGUUUUCGGAUUGUAAACUCCUUUUGUUAGAGAAGAUAAUGACGGUAUCUAACGAAUAAGCACCGGCUAACUCCGUGCCAGCAGCCGCGGUAAUACGGAGGGUGCAAGCGCUACUCGGAAUCAAUGGGCGUAAAGAGCGCGGAGGCGGGAUAGCAAGUCAGAUGUGAAAUCCUAUGGCUUAACCAUAGAACUGCAUUUGAAACUGUUAUUCUAGAGUAUGGGAGAGGUAGGUGGAAUUCUUGGUGUAGGGGUAAAAUGCGUAGAGAUCAAGAGGAAUACUCAUUGCGAAGGCGACCUGCUAGAACAAAACUGACGCUGAUGCGCGAAAGCGUGGGGAGCAAACAGGAUUAGAUACCCGUGUAGUC
RNAcentral lists this ribosomal RNA (440 nucleotides) under uncultured bacterium. Its description in RNAcentral is "partial 16S ribosomal RNA". It matches the Rfam family "Bacterial small subunit ribosomal RNA", at positions 338 to 795 of the family's 1533-position model. The record is from RNAcentral.